UCAAAGAACAAUUGAAGGUCUUUCAACCAAUAAGGAUCUAUUUAGAUAUGAAAAUAUUAAAAUUCAGUUGAAAAUGUCAGUUCCUAUGGCUUAAUGAUGUAUAAAUAUGAAUUUUAAGCAAAGGUCAAAAUCUAGAACGUCCAAUUAACCUAUGACCUUGACCUCAAUUUCAAGGUCAUAGACUAAACAUCUCAAAUAAAAAGACACUAGUUCCUUA
Molecule: long non-coding RNA, 217 nt
Filed under: Mytilus galloprovincialis (Mediterranean mussel)
Lineage: Eukaryota; Metazoa; Mollusca; Bivalvia; Mytilida; Mytilidae
Source: RNAcentral